UGGUGUUGAUCUGAAUCAAUUAUUUUUCUGCUCGAUCUGAAACUAACGUUGCGACGAAACCAAUUAUUUACAGCACCGUCGGCUUGUCGAAAACUAUGCCUAAGAAACGUUCGAAUAUCCCCUUUAUUGCGCAGUGUCGGCUUAAAACAACUCUUCCUCGCCAACGAUGUUCCACUUCCACUUAAGUUGCGACUUUGUGCCGACAACUGAACGACACUGUUUCGCAGCGUGCAGUACGAAUCGUCCAUUUCAAGUGAAUUAUUCUCUUUUUCAAUGGAUAAAGAAAGCCGAUCGCAUUUGACGGAGCUGUGAACGGUCGACUGACACUGGCUAUCACUAAUAGGCAACGGCUUGUUCAAAUCGACCACCAGCGAAGAAGAAAUGCUUUUCCAAAUGCUCUUGUUGGCAGAUUUUAUUGCAGUUAAAGUGUUGUCCGGGCAUUUCAUCCUUUUACAUUUGGCGAACACUGCAUCAACGUUGUUGUAAUAUUCCAACGAAUCUAUGAACCGUUGAUUCAUAUAUCUGUGAGCAAUGCAAGCUACACAACCGCAACGCAAUUCACCUAUUAAUCUACUAUUUCUACCCAGCUUCAUUUUUGAACGCAAAUUCACGUUCGCUUUUCCUUGUGCAAUGACGAAAUCACAAGCCUUCAAGCAAUGCUUCUCAUUUGCAAUUUCUUCACUUUUGCAAUUCAUCAUUAAGAACCUUGAAGGCUGAAGUGGAGCAAGGUUCCAUGUGAACAGCAGUUGGACAUGGGUCAGUCGAUCCUAAGAAAACGGCGAAAGCUUGUUCGAAUUUGCGACAUGAAUUGUAAGACUGAAUAAUUAUUUGUGUGUGUGUUGUGGUGGAGGCGAUUGUGUCGUCACCAGUUGUUGUUGUGUGCAGUUGUCGUAUGUUUUCGAAAGGGAAUCCGGUUGAUAUUCCGGAACCGAGUAACGGAGACAAAGAGUAGCGCUUUAAUCUCUCUGUGGGGUUGGCGUUCAACUCAAUCGCGCGGUAACGCAAGCGAACUCGGAAAAUGACCGUCGUGAGUUUCGAAAAGAGUUUUCUUUUCUUUUUAAGGGACGCAUUCCCUGGAACCGGGUUGUCCGGAGAUAGGGAUUCUGGUAUCCAUAAAACGCAAUUUUUCGCUUCUUUGCCGCUGAAGAUGAUCUCUGGGACGCUUGAUCAUCCAUAAAUUCCGCCAACAAACCAAACGAACUCUCAGAACAUGCUGGUGACGCCUGGUAAAUCUCGUACUUGGUCGUACUGAUAUCCGCAGCAGGUCUCCAAGGUGAAUAGCCUCUGGCCGAUAGAAUAAUGUAGGUAAGGGAAGUCGGCAAAACGGAUCCGUAACUUCGGAACAAGGAUUGGCUCUAAGGGCUGGGCCGAUCGGGCUGAGGUUUCAAGCGUGCAGUGUAUGUUGGCUUAGCUGUGUUGAGGACUUGUUCACUUGCCACCGGUUGUUCGGCUGGUCGAGUGUAUUCGAGUCUGAAGCAGAGCUGGCCGACAGACCGGCACGUGCAGAACCUGAGCUGCGCGGCUGUCCGUUUUCGUGUACAGACCGUUUCGGUCGGCAUUCAACAGCCAACUUAGAACUGGCACGGACACAAGGAAUCUGACUGUAUAAUUAAAACAAAGCAUUGCGAUGGCCGAUGAUCGGUGAUGACGCAAUGUGAUUUCUGCCCAGUGCUCUGAAUGUCAAAGUGAAGAAAUUCAAUCAAGCGCGGGUAAACGGCGGGAGUAACUAUGACUCUCUUAAGGUAGCCAAAUGCCUCGUCAUCUAAUUAGUGACGCGUAUGAAUGGAUCAACAAGAUUCCUUCUGUCCCUAUCUACUAUCUAGCGAAACCACAGCCAAGGGAACGGGCUUGGCAAAAUCAGCGGGGAAAGAAGACCCUGUUGAGCUUGACUCUAGUCUGACUCUGUGAAGAGACAUGAAAGGUGUAGCAUAGGUGGGAGAUUGUCAAUUUGCCAUCGUUCACGCGA
This 1966-nucleotide ribosomal RNA is filed under the name Trichinella spiralis. RNAcentral's name for it is "eukaryotic LSU rRNA". The stretch from base 620 to 1966 matches the Rfam family "Eukaryotic large subunit ribosomal RNA", at positions 1 to 2494 of the family's 3401-position model. The record is from RNAcentral. Lineage: Eukaryota; Metazoa; Nematoda; Enoplea; Trichinellida; Trichinellidae.